GUCAAAUCGUAUGACGUAUCACUGAGUGUUUAUGAAUAUAAUAUACUUUUGUUCCAAAUGCCUCAAUGCAGUGCGUUAAAUUGUAAAACAGAGGAAUACAUUUAUUUCCAAAGGAAAGUAAACGUAGAAAGCAAUGGGAAUCUGCGUUACGUAUAAAAACUUCGAAGCUAGUAGCACAGCACGAUUGUGUGUUGCGCAUUUUACAGAAAAAGAUUAUUACGGGAAAAUCAAUUAUACAGGUUAUGAGCUCCUUGCAAAAUUUCUUAAAAAGACAGCUGUGCUAUCUGUGUUCUUCUUAACGAAGAUAAAACCAGAAAAUCCAGCUGCUGUGGCACAUCAACAACGUAUUGAACGAAGAAGUCAGUCGAGUAACAAAUGUAGAUAAUUCACAACCAUCAAGUAGCAAAGUUAACCUAAUAAGUGACAGAGACAAUUUACUGGAAGUUGAUCAUGGAGAAGCGAGUCAAAACCAGAAGACAAAAGUGCAGUAGGAUGUACAUAUAUUAUGCAUGAAUUUAUAUCUAAGGGCACUCAAGUUGAUCAAGAACACAAAUAUGGGUUUAUGAAUAGAUAUAAAGAUGAUAAUGCCACUAUUAAGUUUUACACAGGUUUUGAAUCAUAUAAAAAUUUAAUUUAGUCUACUCAGCUCUUAGUCCAGUGGUUCACAAAAUAAAAUAUUAUGGCAGCAAUGUGAUUAUUCUUAGCAGUGAUUCUAAUUCUAAUUUAUUAGUUGGUGCAAUACCUGGUAGCUUGCUGUUAUAUUGUUCCCAAGCAUUUGCAGGAUUGAUAAGUGAUCAGUAGGCAGUGGAACAAAGUGACCUUUUAGCAAAAUGUGAAAGUGGUAGUAGUAUACUGACUGACAGAGGAUUUAUGAUACAAUAUAUAUUUCAUCAGACAAAAAUGUGACCAUUAGGAUUCCCAGUUUCUUAAAAGAAAAAUUUCAGUUGCCUGGUCUUAAUGUAAUAAAAGAUAGGGAGCUUGCAAACAAAGGAGUUCAUAUAGAAAGAAUAAUAGGAUUAACAAAGACAAACAAAAUUUAAAAAUGAAUUAGACCAUAACUAUAUCCCAAUAGUGAGCAAAAUCUUUUUUUAUGUUUUAUGUGCUAAACAUCUACAAUUUCAGGAAUUAUACUAUUACUAUAUUGUGAAAGAUAUUAGAUAAAAAGAUGUAAUUAUUUCAAUUUAUUUAUUAAUUGUAAAUAGUUCUUAUACACAUACUUAUUUACAUUUCUGGUUCUAAAUUAUGUACAUAAAAGUUUAACAAAUUUGUCAACAUGCCAUUAAUAAAUGAGUCAUCUCUA
Molecule: long non-coding RNA, 1300 nt
Filed under: Manduca sexta (tobacco hornworm)
Lineage: Eukaryota; Metazoa; Arthropoda; Insecta; Lepidoptera; Sphingidae
Description: uncharacterized LOC119189576
Source: RNAcentral